This is a long non-coding RNA of Parus major (Great Tit), 495 nucleotides long. RefSeq lists it as uncharacterized. The record is from RefSeq and is a predicted model, not a curated record. Lineage: Eukaryota; Metazoa; Chordata; Aves; Passeriformes; Paridae. The transcript has 3 exons.
GCAGACACUGUACCAAAACAAACCAAGGUUUUGCUGACACUCUUUGCUCUCCAAGUGGAUUCUCAUUUUCAGAAAGGAUCAAUACAUCUUCCACUACAAAAAGUCAACAGGACUUCAUGGGUGAGGAACUUCCUGAGACCUCUUCCUGAAGAAAGUUUUGGCUGCAGAUGGAUAAUUAGGACUUUUUGAUGAUGGAAAUUUGAGGCACCUGAAGUCCACCUGAAUCUUGGCCCAAGGAGCACAGAAGGACAUUGUCAGGCACAGGUCCAGUGACAGGACAAAAAACCUGGCUGGGGCUCAAAGGAAACAAAUGUCUCUCAUAUGUCUCAAGGCUAGGAAUUAAUAAAAAUAUUCAAUUCAAAAGAGGUGUUUUUCAGACACAUGUUUUAAAUCCCAGCAUAAAGAAUAUCUGGUGGUGAACAACCACAAACAUCAGGUAUUUGUACUUCUGCUUAUAGAGUUGCCACAAUUUCUCUACUUUUCUAUGACUCUGCG